AUUGAACGCUGGCGGCAUGCCUUACACAUGCAAGUCGAACGGCAGCACGGGAGCAAUCCUGGUGGCGAGUGGCGAACGGGUGAGUAAUAUAUCGGAACGUGCCCAGUCGUGGGGGAUAACGCAGCGAAAGCUGUGCUAAUACCGCAUACGAUCUCUGGAUGAAAGCGGGGGACUCGCAAGAGCCUCGCGCGAUUGGAGCGGCCGAUAUCAGAUUAGCUAGUUGGUGGGGUAAAAGCUCACCAAGGCGACGAUCUGUAGCUGGUCUGAGAGGACGACCAGCCACACUGGAACUGAGACACGGUCCAGACUCCUACGGGAGGCAGCAGUGGGGAAUUUUGGACAAUGGGCGCAAGCCUGAUCCAGCAAUGCCGCGUGCAGGAUGAAGGCCUUCGGGUUGUAAACUGCUUUUGUACGGAACGAAACGGCUCUUUCUAAUAAAGAGGGCUAAUGACGGUACCGUAAGAAUAAGCACCGGCUAA
This 479-nucleotide ribosomal RNA is filed under the name uncultured bacterium. RNAcentral describes it as "bacterial SSU rRNA". It matches the Rfam family "Bacterial small subunit ribosomal RNA", at positions 30 to 500 of the family's 1533-position model. The record is from RNAcentral.